RNAcentral lists this long non-coding RNA (680 nucleotides) under Gallus gallus (chicken). The record is from RNAcentral. Lineage: Eukaryota; Metazoa; Chordata; Aves; Galliformes; Phasianidae.
UCUCCUUCUCUGGCACAGGAACAGUCCGAGAUUGCAGUGGAUGAGCAGGAACUCCUGAAGGCCCUUCACUUUGUUUUUUUGUUUUUUCCUUUUGUUUCUUCAAUUUGAUUUCUUCAAGUGUUUUUAUUCCAAAAUUCAAGCUGUCAUCUUGUUUUGUAUCAGCAUUAGAUUUCCUAGUAGAAAUUAUCCGCAAUCCAUUAUGGUUUUCUUCAGCUGGUUGCUGGACAGGUGUUUUUGUUUCUUCUCCCUCCUCAGAAAGCUGGUCAUCAUCAUCUUCAUCAUCAUCUGCAGCAUUGAUUACAACUGGAGGAUGUGUAGGGCUUGGGACAUUUUCUGAGUUUUCCACUUUCAUCACUCCCCUCAACUGUGGAGAAGGAUUGGACUGCACAGAAAGCUUGUUCUGCUGCAGCGUUAUCUGAGCUGCCUUCAGAUCGUCAUCUGCAGACUCCGGUGGACUCGGCAGCGUAGCUAGAGGAAGGAGAGGAUCAUCAGGAAUUUAAAACUUUGACCCCAACAUCACAACCACUGCACAAAGAUGGCAGACAAGGCUGACAACCUGCACAGAUAAAUGUUGAGUCUCUAGCUGCCCAUCCAAUCACUGGCUAUACUCUGUGAACAAAGAAUACCCCCCCCACACAUAACACUCACCUCCAUACCACCCAGUAAAAGCUUAAACACAG